This 341-nucleotide unclassified non-coding RNA is filed under the name soil metagenome. RNAcentral describes it as "partial contains 5.8S ribosomal RNA, internal transcribed spacer 2, and large subunit ribosomal RNA". The stretch from base 1 to 120 matches the Rfam family "5.8S ribosomal RNA", at positions 35 to 154 of the family's 154-position model. The record is from RNAcentral.
GAUGAAGAACGCAGCGAAAUGCGAUAAGUAGUGUGAAUUGCAGAAUUCAGUGAAUCAUCGAAUCUUUGAACGCACAUUGCGCCCUUUGGUAUUCCAAAGGGCAUGCCUGUUCGAGCGUCAUUUGAACCCUCAAGCUUUGCUUGGUGUUGGGCGUCUUGUCUCUAGCUUUGCUGGAGACUCGCCUUAAAGUAAUUGGCAGCCGGCCUACUGGUUUCGGAGCGCAGCACAAGUCGCACUCUCUAUCAGCAAAGGUCUAGCAUCCAUUAAGCCUUUUUUUCAACUUUUGACCUCGGAUCAGGUAGGGAUACCCGCUGAACUUAAGCAUAUCAAUAAGCGGAGGA